AGCACAGACAAGAUCCUGCAGCUGGGAGAGGAGCCCCAGGCCCGGGAUACCCAGGUGUUCACUCAGUGAUCAGGACAGAAUACAGACAACUCACCAUGGAAUUUGUGCUGGGCUGGGUUUUCCUUCUUGCUCUUUUAAAAGGUGUCCAGUGUGAGGUGCAGCUGGUGGAGUCUGGGGGAGACCUGGUGAAGCCUGGGGGGUCUCUGAGACUCUCCUGUGCAGCCUCUGGAUUCACCUUCAGCAACUACGACAUGUACUGGGUCCGCCAGGCUCCAGGGAAGGGGCUGCAGUGGGUCGCAUGGAUUAAUACUGGUGGAAGUAGCACAAGCUACGCAGACUCUGUGAAGGGCCGAUUCACCAUCUCCAGAGACAACGGCAAGAACACGCUGUAUCUGCAGAUGAACAGCCUGAGAGCCGAGGACACGGCCGUGUAUUACUGUGUCCAGUGUGAGGUGCAGCUGGUGGAGUCUGGGGGAGACCUGGUGAAGCCUGGGGGUUCCCUGAGACUCUCCUGUGCAACCUCUGGAUUCACCUUCAGCAACUAUCACAUGGACUGGGUCCGCCAGGCUCCAGGGAAGGGGCUGCAGUGGGUCGCACAUAUUAGCAAUACUGGUAGUAGCACAUACUACGCAGACUCUGUGAAGGGCCGAUUCACCAUCUCCAGAGACAACGGCAAGAACACGCUGUAUCUGCAGAUGAACAGCCUGAGAGUCGAGGACACAGCCGUGUAUUACUGUGCAACAGACACAGUGAGGGGCCCUCAACCGUAACAAAGGGAUUUG
Non-coding RNA from Mustela erminea (ermine), 782 nucleotides. NCBI's taxonomy places the organism in Eukaryota, Metazoa, Chordata, Mammalia, Carnivora, Mustelidae. The record is from the annotation of a RefSeq genome assembly.